GGAGGUAAAAGUCGUAACAAGGUUUCCGUAGGUGAACCUGCGGAAGGAUCAUUCAUAAUAAAGUGUUUUAUGGCACUUUUUAAAAAUCCAUAUCCACCUUGUGUGCAAUGUUAGAUCUCGUCAAUCUUGGCGAGAUUUUUAUACAUCAACUCAUUCUUUAACUAAUUUGUCUGAAAAAUAUUAUGAAUACUUAUUUCAAAAUACAACUUUCAACAACGGAUCUCUUGGCUCUC
RNAcentral lists this unclassified non-coding RNA (233 nucleotides) under plant metagenome. RNAcentral describes it as "partial contains small subunit ribosomal RNA, internal transcribed spacer 1, and 5.8S ribosomal RNA". The stretch from base 1 to 54 matches the Rfam family "Eukaryotic small subunit ribosomal RNA", at positions 1778 to 1831 of the family's 1831-position model. The record is from RNAcentral.